Molecule: transfer RNA, 71 nt
Filed under: Marmota monax (woodchuck)
Lineage: Eukaryota; Metazoa; Chordata; Mammalia; Rodentia; Sciuridae
Description: tRNA.Ala
Rfam family: tRNA
About the family: Transfer RNA (tRNA) molecules are approximately 80 nucleotides in length.
Source: RNAcentral
GGGGUUGUGGCUCAGUGGCAGAGCGCUUGCCUGGCAUGUAUGAGGCACUGGGUUCGAGCCUCAGCACCGCA